This 429-nucleotide ribosomal RNA is filed under the name Chloroflexota bacterium. RNAcentral describes it as "Chloroflexi bacterium partial 16S ribosomal RNA". It matches the Rfam family "Bacterial small subunit ribosomal RNA", at positions 355 to 776 of the family's 1533-position model. The record is from RNAcentral. Lineage: Bacteria; Bacillati; Chloroflexota.
UGGGGAAUAUUGCACAAUGGGCGCAAGCCUGAUGCAGCCAUGCCGCGUGUAUGAAGAAGGCCUUGGGGUUGUAAAGUACUUUCAGCGGGGAGGAAGGGAGUAAAGUUAAUACCUUUGCUCAUUGACGUUACCCGCAGAAGAAGCACCGGCUAACUCCGUGCCAGCAGCCGCGGUAAUACGGAGGGUGCAAGCGUUAAUCGGAAUUACUGGGCGUAAAGCGCACGCAGGCGGUUUGUUAAGUCAGAUGUGAAAUCCCCGGGCUCAACCUGGGAACUGCAUCUGAUACUGGCAAGCUUGAGUCUCGUAGAGGGGGGUAGAAUUCCAGGUGUAGCGGUGAAAUGCGUAGAGAUCUGGAGGAAUACCGGUGGCGAAGGCGGCCCCCUGGACGAAGACUGACGCUCAGGUGCGAAAGCGUGGGGAGCAAACAGG